GACGAACCGAGCGAACGUUAUUCGGAAUCACUGGGCUUAAAGGGCGCGUAGGCGGGCGAUCAAGUCAGGGGUGAAAGCCCCCAGCUCAACUGGGGAAGUGCCUUUGAUACUGAUUGUCUCGAGGGAGAUAGGGGCGUGCGGAACUUCCGGUGGAGCGGUGAAAUGCGUAGAUAUCGGAAGGAACACCGAUGGCGAAAGCAGCGCGCUGGAUCUCUUCUGACGCUGAGGCGCGAAAGCCAGGGGAGCAAACGGG
This 253-nucleotide ribosomal RNA is filed under the name uncultured bacterium. Its description in RNAcentral is "partial 16S ribosomal RNA". It matches the Rfam family "Bacterial small subunit ribosomal RNA", at positions 524 to 776 of the family's 1533-position model. The record is from RNAcentral.